RNAcentral lists this long non-coding RNA (247 nucleotides) under Nicotiana benthamiana. RNAcentral describes it as "long non-coding RNA (NBEN_LNC002523)". Lineage: Eukaryota; Viridiplantae; Streptophyta; Magnoliopsida; Solanales; Solanaceae. The record is from RNAcentral.
GCAAAGUGAUGGAUCAAGAGGGUUUCAUACUUGGGAAUUGUCAACCCUGAAUUUUGAUUCUUUGUUUGUAUGCAGUUGCCAAGGUAGGCUUUGAAGCUUCUGCAUGACUUUUUCCUUCUAUCAUUGAGAGAUAUGGAUCCACAAUUGUUGGGUUCAGAUGUCCUUAAAUAUUUAGAACACAUGAUUUUCCCAAGAGAGAAUGAUGGGGUUCAUGAGCGACAAUACAUUCUUUAGAGAAUGAUCACUU